GUGUAUUACAUCGUCAUAAACUUCUAUUUCAUUACAUCAAAUGAUAAAUUUUAAUACGGUAAUCAAUGUCUAUGACCGGGGGAUUCGGUUCCACAUGGCGGGGGUCGACGGUUACGCGCUGGAUUCCUCCUUCCUCUAGCUUCCGGCGGCGGUUGUUCUUCCUCGGGUGGUGAUUGUUGUUCUUCCGGUUCGGCAUCUGCUUGUCGGACUUGGGACGAUGAUCCACCUUCAAAGAAUAGUGUAUGUGGAGGUGUUUGCAUCAUGAACGGCGACGGAGUUUAAAAGCCAUGCGUUGCUGGCGAUUGGUAAAAAGGAGAGCUCCCCGACGGCCCCCCUUGCGACCCCUCCUGCGCCGAUGGCCUAGUUAUCGGUGGUCCGCUCGGCAUUACAGGAAAUGGAGCUGAUCCGGGCAUUUGGCUCCAACCUGCCAUAGGAUUCGGAAAAGGAUACAUGUACGGGUUAGGGUACAUAUAAGGGCUAGGAAACAUACCUGGCAUCAUAGGGAAAGGUGAAUGCGUGGGUAUCAUCUGUUGAAUUGCUGCGCCAGGUGACUGCGUCGGUGCUCUCGUUGGGGACGGUGAUUGCAUGGUCGCUGAUGAUGAACCGGGUGAAUGUCUGGGCCUCGUUGAGGGGCUGC
This 637-nucleotide long non-coding RNA is filed under the name Gossypium barbadense (sea-island cotton). RNAcentral describes it as "long non-coding RNA (GBAR_LNC015711)". Lineage: Eukaryota; Viridiplantae; Streptophyta; Magnoliopsida; Malvales; Malvaceae. The record is from RNAcentral.